GAUGAAGAACGCAGCGAAAUGCGAUACGUAAUGUGAAUUGCAGGAUUCAGUGAAUCAUCGAGUCUUUGAACGCACAUUGCGCCCUCUGGUAUUCCGGAGGGCAUGCCUGUCCGAGCGUCAUUGCUGCCCUCAAGCACGGCUUGUGUGUUGGGCCCCGCCCCCCGAUCCCGGGGGGCGGGCCCGAAAGGCAGCGGCGGCACCGCGUCCGGUCCUCGAGCGUAUGGGGCUUUGUCACCCGCUCUGUAGGCCCGGCCGGCGCCUGCCGAUCAACCAAACUUUUUUCCAGGUUGACCUCGGAUCAGGUAGGGAUACCCGCUGAACUUAAGCAUAUCAAUAAGCGGAGGA
This 345-nucleotide unclassified non-coding RNA is filed under the name soil metagenome. Its description in RNAcentral is "partial contains 5.8S ribosomal RNA, internal transcribed spacer 2, and large subunit ribosomal RNA". The stretch from base 1 to 120 matches the Rfam family "5.8S ribosomal RNA", at positions 35 to 154 of the family's 154-position model. The record is from RNAcentral.